This 450-nucleotide ribosomal RNA is filed under the name uncultured bacterium. RNAcentral's name for it is "partial 16S ribosomal RNA". It matches the Rfam family "Bacterial small subunit ribosomal RNA", at positions 338 to 795 of the family's 1533-position model. The record is from RNAcentral.
CCUACGGGUGGCAGCAGUGGGGAAUAUUGGACAAUGGGCGCAAGCCUGAUCCAGCAAUGCCGCGUGUGUGAAGAAGGCCUUCGGGUUGUAAAGCACUUUUAUCAGGAGCGAAAUACUACCGGCUAAUACCCGGUGGGGCUGACGGUACCUGAGGAAUAAGCACCGGCUAACUUCGUGCCAGCAGCCGCGGUAAUACGAAGGGUGCAUGCGUUAAUCGGAAUUACUGGGGGUAAAGCGUGCGUUCGGGGUUGAAAUCCCCGGGCUCAACCUGGGAAUGGCAGUGGAUACUGGCAAGCUAGAGUGUGUCAGAGGAUGGUGGAAUUCCCGGUGUAGCGGUGAAAUGCGUAGAGAUCGGGAGGAACAUCAGUGGCGAAGGCGGCCAUCUGGGACAACACUGACGCUGAGGCACGAAAGCGUGGGGAGCAAACAGGAUUAGAUACCCUAGUAGUC